AGUUCACUCACGCGUUUGAAGGUGAAACGUCACAUGGAGCGCGUUGCGUUCUGGGAAACAGUAUACCAUGCAGCGUCUUCAGAUGCAUACAUCAAAUUUCAGCAAAUGUAGCAGAAGAAAAAAAACACAGCAAGAUGGGAGGCUCCAAGAUUUCACAAUUUCUGAAGGGAGCCGAAGACGGAGAAGUAAGGAACACAAGUGAACAGGAUCUUACGCCAUCAGAAGCGCCGUUAUGCGCUCGCUUCAGAUGACAGUCAGCACGAGAAGCGAGCGGAGAAAAGGGAGGAACUUGUCAACAAAUCUACCUCACAGCGCAUCAAUGAAAGCAGUUUGACAAUUACAGACGGGUGUGUUGGAUCAGGGUUAGAUCUGAAUUCUGCAGUUGAAGACAUCAGUACAUCAGGUGUUGGCCUGGACAGCUGUAUCUACAGUACUCCACACUGACCUCUCUGCUUUUGCAUAGAUGGCUGACUACUACCAUGUUCUAUAGUAUUAUUGGUAUUAUGUUCUAAGGUAUUAUUAUAGUAAAACUGAGCACUUGUGACAGUGGAAUUUGUAGUUGUAAAGAAUAGACACAUGCGUAUUACAGGUAGUAAAUUUAAAGUCACAGUUUUUUUUUUUUUUAGGAGUUACAAAUGUUUUUUUUUUUACUCUUUCUCUCUAACAAACACAACACAACAGUUACAUCAUUUAAAAUUCUGAGGUGCACAACUCAUAUUCUACAAAUAGCAAAUUAAGAAACUCAUGUGAAUGUGGGGCAAAACACAUUCACACACCCAAAAAAUGUGAAGUCAUAAACAAAUUUUGCACAUUUGCAUAUAUAUACAGUCAUAGUCAGAAUUAUUGACACCCUUGGUAAAUAUGAACAAAGAAGCCUGUGAAAAUAAAUCUGCAUUGUCAAUCCUUUUUGAUAAAAGAUCAAAAAGGGGUAGGGGGAAGCUCAUUAGGAGUAUUUUUUUUCUCUCUAAUACACAUUGGCCACAGUUAAUGACACCCUUUUAUUCAGUACUUUUUGCAAUCUCCUUUUGCCACAAUAACAGCUCUGAGUCUCUCCUAUAAUACUUGGUGAGUUUGAAGCUCACCUGACAGGAGAUCUUUGGAGAGUCGUUGGCCACUCAGACUAUCCUCCUCACCUUGUAUAUAGACAAUAUAGACACACAUCCUCUUGCA
Onychostoma macrolepis is the source of this 1170-nucleotide long non-coding RNA. RefSeq lists it as uncharacterized. NCBI's taxonomy places the organism in Eukaryota, Metazoa, Chordata, Actinopteri, Cypriniformes, Cyprinidae. The transcript is spliced from 5 exons. The record is from RefSeq and is a predicted model, not a curated record.